Gallus gallus (chicken) is the source of this 1537-nucleotide long non-coding RNA. NCBI's taxonomy places the organism in Eukaryota, Metazoa, Chordata, Aves, Galliformes, Phasianidae. The record is from Ensembl.
GUCCUCAUUCGGGGCAGAAGCACAGGAAUAGAAUCAUUAAGCUGAAAAAUGGGGUUAUUAAGCAGGAGUAGCAAUUACUGCCGCAUGCAGGACAACGAGGAGAUAUUGAUCAGUUGUCAUGAGUCAAAGUAAACACUGAGAUCAGUGUUUGAUUGGUAAAUAAAUCCUUGCCAUUCUUUAGGGUGUCUCACUUCCCAUCUAUGCUAAACGCCAUAUAAAAGUUCCUGUGUCUUAAAGCUCUUCAUUCAGUCAACUUUAAUCUUCUAAAUGUGUUUCCAAUGGCUGAGGAAGAUCUUUCAGUUUCUCCGAGGGAGAUGCUCCCGCCAGAACAGGGGUUACAGCAAUGACAUCUCCUCGCACUAUGGGGGCACACCAAGACUGCAGGGACGCGGCUCCUUUUUCUGCAGCGGAGAGGGCUCCAUCAUCUACAGCCGGGGAGCUGCACCCACAUACUCCCCCUAUAGCGUCACGGCGGGGUGCACACCCGGCAGCGAUGGGGUUGUUGUAAUAUCCGGGGGUGAUAAUGAAGGUGCAUCGGGAUGGAGCACAAUGGGGGGGACAGUCCCAACCUACAGCCCCCGGGGGGCAGCAGGAUAUGGCUCUGAGGACGCAGGAUGGGGUAUGGUUGGUGGUUCAGCGGGUGGUGGAGGAUCAGGAUGCUACAGUGGGAAAUUGGGUGUUGGGAGAGGUUCUGGCUAUGGGUAUGAUGCACCGCAGAGACAAAAGGCUGUAACCACAAGUGCUGGACAGGGGCUGUAUGGUGGAGCAUCGGGCUAUGGUACCGGGGGAGAGCUCAGCUCUGGAGGUGCUGGGAUGGCACAGGUCAUGCAGCAGAAGUGCCCCGUGGUCAUCCCCGACAUUGAGCCCCAACAGAUCAAGCAGAGCAGCCAGUGGCCCCCCAGCCAGAAGAAAUGAAGGACCCCACAGAUCUCUGUGCUCCAGAUGUGCCACGCUGCAGCUUUUGCCAUGGACCAGGAGCUCUGCAUUCCACCCAUCAGGCUGUGCUUCCAGCACUGGGACAGGGAUCUGUGCUUCAGUGACAGGAAAAAAUCCCUUCCACCCUCUCCUUUUUCUCAUGGGUUGGGAAAAGAUUCCUCCCUUCUUCUCCUUUCUCUCAUGGGUUGGAAAAUCAAACUUCAUGCUCUAUAGGAACGUCAGCUUCAGGAUGAUUUACUUCAUUCUUCCCUCCUGUAUGUACAGACGCCCAAAGAGAUCAAGAUGGGCUGCAGAAGAUUGAUUUUCCUAUUGAUACGAUAUGUACUUUACAACUAAAUUAAUUAACUGUCACAUUGAUUAACAUGUUAAAAUACACAAUUAAAAUACACCAUUUACGACAGCAGGAAAAGCCGCUUCCUUUGGCUCUGGCAGACAUCAGAGUCCCUCGUGCUGCUCCCACAUUCCCAAUGGGGUCCCUCAGCACUGCACACAGCCCGGCCCCUACGAGCAGAGCUGCAUAACGCCCAGGUGAUUUCCCCGUGAUUAUUAUUUACUACGUGACCUUGAGAAUGCAGCUCUGUUUACUGGGAGCAAUUUCAUG